This 478-nucleotide ribosomal RNA is filed under the name uncultured bacterium. Its description in RNAcentral is "bacterial SSU rRNA". It matches the Rfam family "Bacterial small subunit ribosomal RNA", at positions 28 to 514 of the family's 1533-position model. The record is from RNAcentral.
GAUGAACGCUGGCGGCGUGCCUAACACAUGCAAGUCGAACGGACUUACAUUGAAGCCUAGCGAUAUGUAAGUUAGUGGCGGACGGGUGAGUAACGCGUGGGUAACCUGCCUUGUACUGGGGGACAACAGUUGGAAACGACUGCUAAUACCGCAUAAGCGCACAGCUUCGCAUGAAGCAGUGUGAAAAACUCCGGUGGUACAAGAUGGACCCGCGUCUGAUUAGCUGGUUGGUGAGGUAACGGCCCACCAAGGCGACGAUCAGUAGCCGGCCUGAGAGGGUGAACGGCCACAUUGGGACUGAGACACGGCCCAAACUCCUACGGGAGGCAGCAGUGGGGAAUAUUGCACAAUGGGGGAAACCCUGAUGCAGCAAACGCCGCGUGAGUGAAGAAGUAUUUCGGUAUGUAAAGCUCUAUCAGCAGGGAGAAGAAAUGACGGUACCUGACUAAGAAGCAACCGGCUAAAUACGUGCCAGCAG